Molecule: ribosomal RNA, 490 nt
Filed under: uncultured bacterium
Lineage: Bacteria
Description: partial 16S ribosomal RNA
Rfam family: Bacterial small subunit ribosomal RNA
Source: RNAcentral
AUUGAACGCUGGCGGCAGGCCUAACACAUGCAAGUCGAACGGUAACAGGGAUCAGCUUGCUGAUUCGCUGACGAGUGGCGGACGGGUGAGUAAUGUCUGGGAAACUGCCUGAUGGAGGGGGAUAACUACUGGAAACGGUAGCUAAUACCGCAUAACGUCGCAAGACCAAAGAGGGGGACCUUCGGGCCUCUUGCCAUCGGAUGUGCCCAGAUGGGAUUAGCUAGUAGGUGGGGUAACGGCUCACCUAGGCGACGAUCCCUAGCUGGUCUGAGAGGAUGACCAGCCACACUGGAACUGAGACACGGUCCAGACUCCUACGGGAGGCAGCAGUGGGGAAUAUUGCACAAUGGGCGCAAGCCUGAUGCAGCCAUGCCGAGUGUAUGAAGAAGGCCUUCGGGUUGUAAAGUACUUUCAGCGGGGAGGAAGGGAGUAAAGUUAAUACCUUUGCUCAUUGACGUUACCCGCAGAAGAAGCACCGGCUAACUCCGUG